Molecule: ribosomal RNA, 333 nt
Filed under: uncultured Bacillota bacterium
Lineage: Bacteria; Bacillati; Bacillota
Description: bacterial SSU rRNA
Rfam family: Bacterial small subunit ribosomal RNA
Source: RNAcentral
GACGAACGCUGGCGGCGUGCCUAAUACAUGCAAGUCGAGCGGACUGAUGGGAGCUUGCUCCCUGAUGUUAGCGGCGGACGGGUGAGUAACACGUGGGCAACCUGCCCUUUAGCUUGGGAUAACUCCGGGAAACCGGGGCUAAUACCGAAUAAUACAAUUUAGCUCCUGCUAGAUUGUUGAAAGAUGGUUUCGGCUAUCGCUAUAGGAUGGGCCCGCGGCGCAUUAGCUAGUUGGUAGGGUAAUGGCCUACCAAGGCGACGAUGCGUAGCCGACCUGAGAGGGUGAUCGGCCACACUGGGACUGAGACACGGCCCAGACUCCUACGGGAGGCUG